Molecule: ribosomal RNA, 637 nt
Filed under: uncultured bacterium
Lineage: Bacteria
Description: bacterial SSU rRNA
Rfam family: Bacterial small subunit ribosomal RNA
Source: RNAcentral
GGAUCCAGACUUUGAUUCUGGCUCAGGAUGAACGCUAGCGGGAGGCCUAACACAUGCAAGCCGAGCGGUAUUUGUUCUUCGGAACAGAGAGAGCGGCGCACGGGUGCGGAACACGUGUGCAACCUGCCUUUAUCUGGGGGAUAGCCUUUCGAAAGGAAGAUUAAUACCCCAUAAUAUAUUGAGUGGCAUCAUUUGAUAUUGAAAACUCCGGUGGAUAGAGAUGGGCACGCGCAAGAUUAGAUAGUUGGUGAGGUAACGGCUCACCAAGUCAAUGAUCUUUAGGGGGCCUGAGAGGGUGAUCCCCCACACUGGUACUGAGACACGGACCAGACUCCUACGGGAGGCAGCAGUGAGGAAUAUUGGACAAUGGGUUAGCGCCUGAUCCAGCCAUCCCGCGUGAAGGACGACGGCCCUAUGGGUUGUAAACUUCUUUUGUAUAGGGAUAAACCUACUCUCGUGAGAGUAGCUGAAGGUACUAUACGAAUAAGCACCGGCUAACUCCGUGCCAGCAGCCGCGGUAAUACGGAGGGUGCAAGCGUUAUCCGGAUUUGUUGGGUUUAAAGGGUCCGUAGGCGGAUCUGUAAGUCAGUGGUGAAAUCUCACAGCUUAACUGUGAGACUGCCAUUGAUACUGCAGG